GGUUUGAUUAUGGCUCAGAUUGAACGCUGGCGGGAUGCUUUACACAUGCAAGUCGAACGGCAGCACGGACUUCAGGUCUGGUGGCGAGUGGCGAGCGGGUGAGUAAUGUAUCGGAACGUGCCUAGUAGCGGGGGAUAACUACGCGAAAGCGUAGCCUAAUACCGCAUACGCCCUUCGGGGAAAGCGGGGACCUUCGGGCCUCGCACUAUUAAGAGCGGCCGAUAUCGGAUUAACUAGUUGGUGGGAGUAACGGCUCACCAAGGCGACGAUCCGUAGCUGGUUUGAAGGACGACCAGCCACACUGGGACUGAGACACGGCCCAGACUCCUACGAGGCAGCAGUGGGGAAUUUUGGACAAUGGGGGAAACCCUGAUCCAGCCAUCCCGCGUGUGCGAUGAAGGCCUUCGGGUUGUAAAGCACUUUUGGCAGGAAAGAAACGGCACGGGAUAAUACCCCGUGCAACUGACGGUACCUGCAGAAUAAGCACCGGCUAACUACGUGCCAGCCGCGGUAUGCGGCGUAGGGUGCAAGCGUUAAUCGGAAUUACUGGGCGUAAAGCGUGCGCAGGCGGUUGGAAGAAGAUCUUGAAAUCCCAGAGCUUAACUUUGGAACUGCAUUUUUAACUUACCGGAGCUAGAGUGUGUCAGAGGUGAAUUCCGCGUGUAGCAGUGGUCAUGAUAUGCGGAGGAACACCAGUGGCGAAGGCAGCUCCUGGUAAACACUGACGCUCAUGCACGAAACGAUGGGGAGCAAACAGGAUUAGAUACCCUGGUAGUCCGCCUAAACGAUGUCAACUAGCUGUUGGGGCCUUCGGGCCUUGGUAGCGCAGCUAACGCGUGAAGUUGACCGCCUGGGGAAGUACGGUCGCAGAUUAAAACUCAAAGGAAUUGACGGGGACCCGCACAAGCGGUGGAUGAUGUGGAUUAAUUCGAUGCAACGCGAAAAACCUUACCUACCCUUGACAUGUCUGGAAUCCGUGAAGAGAUUUGGGAGUGCUCGCAAGAGAACCGGAACACAGGUGCUGCAUGGCUGUCGUCAGCUCGUGUCGUGAGAUGUUGGGUUAAGUCCGCAACGAAGCGCAACCCUUGUGGUAGUUGCUACGAAAGGCACUCCUGACGGAAAUACAUUUGACCAAGCCGGAAGGUUGAGAUGCGGCGUCGAAUUCAUGAUUUUCUUAUGGGCGGGCUUCUGCAUCAUACAAUGGUCAGGACAGAGGGUCGCCAGCCGCGAGGAGCCAAUCCAGAAACCCGAUCGUAGUCUGGAUCACAGUCUGCAACUCGACUGCGUGGUCGUCGCUAGUAAUCGCGGAUCAGCAUGUCGCGGUGAAUACGUUCCCGGGUCUUGUACACACCGCCGUCACACCAUGGGUGGUUUUACCCAGAAGUAGUUAGCCUAACCGUAAGGAGGGCGAUUACGGUAGGAUUCAUGACUGGGGGUGAAGUCGUAACAAGGUAG
RNAcentral lists this ribosomal RNA (1455 nucleotides) under uncultured Bordetella sp. RNAcentral describes it as "partial 16S-23S ribosomal RNA intergenic spacer". It matches the Rfam family "Bacterial small subunit ribosomal RNA". The record is from RNAcentral. Lineage: Bacteria; Pseudomonadati; Pseudomonadota; Betaproteobacteria; Burkholderiales; Alcaligenaceae.